AUGCCUUCAAGUGGUGCUUCGGGGGGUAUUCUUGUGGCAUGGGAUUCUGGUUCUUUGUCUGGGCAGACUGUGGCAGUCCAUGAGUAUCAUGUCACAGUCAGGUUCUCUUCUACCUCCACCAACAACUCCUUCUUACUGUCCACUGUUUAUGCACCCUGCCUGAACAGUGAAAGGACGAGGUUUUUCGAGGCUAUGAGUAGUUUGAAUGUGCAAGACAGCCUUCAGUGGAUCGUUUUGGGUGACUUUAACAUGUACAGAUUUGCACACGAGAAGUCACAGGGUCUGAUCAGCUGGAAUGUGAUGGAAAGGUUCAACUCUUGGAUCAAAGACAGUGGGCUUGAUGACAUACACAUCGAUAACAGGUUGUUCACAUGGUCUAACAAGAUGAGCUCCCCCACUCUAGUUCGUUUGGAGCAUGUGCUAGUCAAUACGGCUUGGAAUUUGAGCUUGCUCCACACCUCUAUCUCGGUUGUACCUGCAACAACUUCAGAUCAUGCUCCUAUCUUGGUCAAGUUUUCUGAUGAUGUUCCUAGGAGCAGUUUAUUCAGGAUGGAAAACCACUGGUUGGAAACAGAGGAGGCUAGGAACAUUAUUAUGGACUGUUGGUAG
Molecule: ribosomal RNA, 609 nt
Filed under: Triticum aestivum (bread wheat)
Lineage: Eukaryota; Viridiplantae; Streptophyta; Magnoliopsida; Poales; Poaceae
Description: partial small subunit ribosomal RNA
Source: RNAcentral